This is a long non-coding RNA of Acinonyx jubatus (cheetah), 3848 nucleotides long. RefSeq lists it as uncharacterized. NCBI's taxonomy places the organism in Eukaryota, Metazoa, Chordata, Mammalia, Carnivora, Felidae. The transcript has 3 exons. The record is from RefSeq and is a predicted model, not a curated record.
AACAUGAAACGAUUGGAGACCAAGAGCAGACUCCACGCAUCUCCUCUUUGGAAGCUCUUCACAUGAAAGAAUGAAACACCCCGAGCAGCGCUGACUUGUGCCGUGUGUGUGGCCCGCCGGCACAGGUGUCCGUAGGCAGGUAGAGUGGGAAGAUGCUGAUGGGCACAGAACCCUGAGAUGUCUCUUCCUGGUGAUUUCCCGCAGGGGAGGGUGGCUCUAAGGCUUUCUCGAAGGUGUUUAGUGUUGAGACUCUUUCUCCACGCCUAUAGCUAACGUUGGCAUCACUGUCUCCCCGCAGGUGUCUGAUGUUGCUUGCAAUCAGACGUACUUUUGGAGAAAAGGUGGCAGGAACCAUUAGAGGUAGCUUUAACCACUUCGUUGCCAAUACAGGGAGAGGACUGUGCCGAUGGAGCCCACAAAUUGGCCCAUUUAGUUGGGCACAAGGUGUUAGCCUUCUAGUGUGUCCCAAAUUUAUCCUUGAAAUCUUCCUAAAGAGCAAAGCAGCGCAUUUGUAGGCAUGAAAAACCUGCAGUGUGGCCCUGAGAGCUGGGAUUCCAUCAGCAAUUCUGCACCUGCUAUUGAACACGGCCUGCAUUUUGUUUUACGUAAAUGGAGGCCUUGGGAUUUGCCCGGCGGGGGGUGAAUUCCUUUCAUUUUGCCACAGAACAGGAAGAGCUCCAUGUGGAAGACUGUCAGCUGCUUUCGGGAAGGAUGGAGUUCUACACAUUCUCUCUCCGUGUGUGCAUUGCUCCUGAAUGUUUUAGAGGUUCUCUGGAAGACUAAGGGCACUUCUAGAAAAAAACAGCAGCUGCAGAGGAGCCUAGACACUUUACCAGGAAGAAAAGCAAACAUUUCCCAGUCCCGACUACACUCAAGCUUCGCCCAGGAAGAUUUUUCACACUGAUAAUUAGAAUCGACAUAUUUAUGGGGCUCUAUUUUUGCGUGGACCAUCCGGUCUGAGGCCAGUAUUCCUUUUGAAGUCUGGAGAAUUGGAACCUUGGAGGAACUGAACAGUUCCCAGAGAGCAGAGCCUCAGGGAAUAAAACUUUAGACAGGCCUUAAGAUCAUUAGCGCUCGUUUUCCUUCACGCACAGAUAUCUCUCUGGAAAACCUUUGGUGGCCAAAGUCAUUAAUGAUCACAUAUAAAACCCUAAUUAAUCCAAAUGGGAAUCCAAUUCUUGACAAGCUGAUUUCAUCUCCAUUAGAUUUGUGGUUUGCAGAACCUGGGACCACUUUGCCCCAUAACAAAAAGCAGUCACACUCCACCCUGUUGAAUUCUGAGUCACUCGAGCUUCGAGUUCCCGGGUGAUUUUGCGUGAGUCAUUGUUCCACAUGAGGAUUUCUAAUUCAGUCAACAAAAAGCACUCAACUAUUCAUCUUUUGCUACCAAUUACUCAGUUUCGAAAUGACAUGUACCCACAGUAUUCAGUGGAUCCGUACCUCUGCAAAACGCACCUUAGAACAAUUUGUUCUCUUAAAUGAGUAGCUAGAAAAGUUCCAUUAUGCCAAGCACAAUGUAAUUGUUGCCCUGGCAGACAGCUGCCCAGGAAAGGCACUCUGGACUGUCGUUUGAUACUUGAGAGUCGGCUCCUGUAGGAGGACAGGUGCAUUUAGAACACCAUUGAGGGAUGGAUGGAAACAAAGAAGGGCAUCGAGUGAACUCUAUGAUUUAAGAUCAUUAAUUAAAGCUCUCUAAACUUCCAUUUCUUCAUCUGUAAAGUGAAGAUGAUAGUGUUGCCUGCCCAUCUUUCAGGAUGAUUAUCAAAAUUCGUUCAAGUUAAUAAAUGUGUAAGCAGUACGUACUAAGCCCAAUGCUGUAACAGUUAUCUCUGGAAAUAUGAUGGUACACUAGUGUUACUUCUUGAUUCAAUGGUCAUUUAAUGGAAAAAUAAAAUAACUUAGAUAACUUGUUAAAAUCCUCACAAAUAUAAAACAGAGGCAGUAGUAAUGGGAGUAAACUCAGAGAGUCAACAUUGGGAGGGAACAGAAAGAUUCUGCAGCCUAAUCCUUUCAUUUUUAAAAAAUUUUUCUAAUGUUUAUUUAUUUUUGAGAGAGGUAAAUGAAAGUGCGAGCAGGGGAGAGGCAGAGAGAGAGAGGGAGACACAGAAUCCAAAGCAGGCUCCAGGCUCUGAGCUGUCAGCACAGAGCCCAACAAGGGGCUCGAAAUCACGAAAUGUAAGAUCAUGACCUGAGCCGAAGUCAGAUGCUUAACCGACUGAGCCGCCCAGGCGCCCCAUAACCCUCUCAUUUUUAAUUAACCGAAUGCCACAGAGAUGAGCAACUUUUGCCAGGAUGUAUGUACAACUAGUAGAACUAAAUAUUGGUUGUUAAGAUAUUCCAACUUUUAAGCAGAUUCCUCAAAACUCAGAGAGUAAGAGCUGGUACAGUCAGCUGCAAUUUAAACAAUUCUACGGGGAAGGUUGGAGACAUUUAGAGAAACUUCUCAGCUCUGGUUAACACUGCAGGUAAAGGGUCAGGCUCCGGAAUCAGACUGACCGGGUUGGAUUCUGGGUCUGCCACUCAUUAGCUAGUGACCUCGGGCAAGUUACAUACAUGUCUAUGUCUCAUUUCCUCCUCUGUAACAUGAAGAUAAUAAAGUACCCAACUCCACAGGGUUGUUGUGAGGACUGAAAUGAAUUAAUACGUAAAGGGCUUAGGACAGGGUCCGGCACAUGACAGGCUCACAGCAACUGGUAUCUAUAAAAUGGGACUUAAGUAAAGCGAAGUAAAUGACUCUCUCGGGUCAUUCUGCUUGUAGGAGAGGUAUCUGCAGAAGGGAUGAUGGGGGCACACACACAUUGGACCCAAUGGUGGCACUCCAAGCAGUGAGGGCAGUGAAUGUCUCUUAUACCACAAAGCAAACCAGAGCUGUUACCUUCAGGCUACUUCUUUCCUUUCACCAAGACGUCAGCUAACCUCCUGAGCAUUUCAGACAUCACGUGUGAGUGCGGAUGCCGAGAACGAGCCUGAAUUCCAGGACUGAGACUCUCAUCCACUCAGCUCCUACCUGCGGCUUACUCUGGGUUCAAUUAAGGCAGCAGAGGGUUUGCAGAGGAGAGGUGGCCCCUGUUCUGAGAUAAAGGCAUUGAUCACCCUUCAUUAACAAUUCAUUAGCAUCCUCUGCCCCACUUGAUCUGGCCUGAAGGUUGCCGGGCAGAGCCUGGGGCGUGGUGUUUGGUUUACACACUGAUCCCUAUCACUGUGACCAUCUGAGGCUUUCUAACCUCAGCAGAGCAGGCUGGCCCGGCUGACCCUCGGUCGGGGUCACUCUGGGACAACAGUCCAUUUCCCGGACUCGCUGGUAGGCAGGGGUAGAAGCAAAGGCAAAGGAGAGAAAGAACGGGGCUGUAACCUAGUCAAUGGAAGUGAUACAGCUGGAGAAAGCAGGUCAGCCCAGAGGCGCGGUCAGCACAGGACAAGGCAGUGUCCAAUAGGAAGGGGUUGUGCACACUCAGCUCUGUGCUCAGAGCGGGUGACCUGUCCCCGAGAAUGCGGUCUGAUUUCCUCUAGAUACAUCCCUUUGGUGGAGAGGGAGCAUCCGGCUUCAUUUAACAUUCCAAGCAGACAGCCAGCUCCCUCUUCUCGCUCAGAUUCCAGCCUCGCCUGGCUGUCUUCCGAUGAUAAUUUGACUUCCCACGUAGAUUUCACCACAGGGAGAGAAUGUGCUUGAAACAGAAUGUGUGUCUGAUCUCCUGGCCGAUUUUACUUGUCAUUGUAAAUUAAUAAAAUGGCGUUUUGAUUUACACAUCUGUCUCUGGUGAACUUGGUUAGUAUGACUGAGGGCCCGAUAAACUGAUCUUACCUCAGUGUGCUGACAAAACCAAUUUUCUCAGCUUUUGAACCUGAAA